ACUGCAGAAAGACCGCAACCUCCUGAUUUGUAAUCAGGGGGUCAGGGGUUCGAGUCCCUUACGCGGCACCG
This 71-nucleotide transfer RNA is filed under the name Candidatus Viadribacter manganicus. RNAcentral's name for it is "Caulobacteraceae bacterium OTSz_A_272 tRNA-Thr". The record is from RNAcentral. Lineage: Bacteria; Pseudomonadati; Pseudomonadota; Alphaproteobacteria; Hyphomonadales; Hyphomonadaceae.